RNAcentral lists this ribosomal RNA (253 nucleotides) under uncultured bacterium. RNAcentral's name for it is "partial 16S ribosomal RNA". It matches the Rfam family "Bacterial small subunit ribosomal RNA", at positions 524 to 776 of the family's 1533-position model. The record is from RNAcentral.
UACGUAGGUGGCAAGCGUUGUCCGGAUUUAUUGGGUUUAAAGGGUGCGUAGGCGGUCUUAUAAGUCAGUGCUGAAAUAUCCCGGCUUAACCGGGAGGGUGGCAUUGAUACUGUAGGACUUGAGUAAAGUUGAGGUUGGCGGAAUUGACGGUGUAGCGGUGAAAUGCUUAGAUAUCGGGAGGAACACCGGUGGCGAAGGCGGUUCUCUGGGCCUGUACUGACGCUGAGGAGCGAAAGCGUGGGGAGCGAACAGG